GUUCAGAUAGUUUAAAAAAAAUAUUGGUUUGUGGCACCAAAGAUAUAAUUGUUUAUUUUGGACA
RNAcentral lists this transfer RNA (64 nucleotides) under Emerita talpoida. RNAcentral's name for it is "tRNA-His". Lineage: Eukaryota; Metazoa; Arthropoda; Malacostraca; Decapoda; Hippidae. The record is from RNAcentral.